Long non-coding RNA from Marmota monax (woodchuck), 427 nucleotides. RefSeq lists it as uncharacterized. The transcript has 2 exons. The record is from RefSeq and is a predicted model, not a curated record. NCBI's taxonomy places the organism in Eukaryota, Metazoa, Chordata, Mammalia, Rodentia, Sciuridae.
GGGCCACCAGCCCCGCUACAACUGGAGCUUCUGUUCCUAUAGAGGGGCAAGUGGACACGGCGGAGCACCUGCGGCCUUCGACAGAGUCCCAUGGCCGCUCUCUGGCCAGAGACAGGCUUCAUUUGAUUUCCAGCUUUUGACAAUGAGGAGUUUCCCCUAAGGAUGGCACUGCUGGCUAACCUUGAAAACUCCGGAUCAGGCCACACUGGACACUCCCUUAAGGGACUUCACCGAGCAGCUGUCGGAGCUGUGCCCUCGGGGAGGCCCUGCCACCUCUCCGGUCAGCUGUUCUGAGAAUGCAUCUCCGAGGUGAGGUGCUUCAGAGCUGGCAGCAGCGGCCAGACACAGCCUCCAUGUGCCCCCAUGGACCCCAAUGCAGUCCCCAAUGUGGUUUCUGGCUCUAUUUAUACACUGCGGUGGACCUAGA